UUAGCCCUAAACACAAAUAAUUACAAAAACAAAAUUAUUCGCCAGAGUACUACCGGCAACAGCCUAAAACUCAAAGGACUUGGCGGUGCUUUAUACCCUUCUAGAGGAGCCUGUUCUAUAAUCGAUAAACCCCGAUAGACCUCACCAAUUCUUGCUAAUACAGUCUAUAUACCGCCAUCUUCAGCAAACCCUAAAAAGGAAUAAAAGUAAGCAUAAUCACAACACAUAAAAACGUUAGGUCAAGGUGUAACCUAUGAAAUGGGAAGAAAUGGGCUACAUUUUCUACCACAAGAAAAUCACACGAAAGUUAUUAUGAAACUAAUAACCAAAGGAGGAUUUAGUAGUAAACUAAGAAUAGA
RNAcentral lists this ribosomal RNA (359 nucleotides) under Cephalophus dorsalis (bay duiker). Its description in RNAcentral is "partial 12S small subunit ribosomal RNA". It matches the Rfam family "Bacterial small subunit ribosomal RNA", at positions 796 to 1353 of the family's 1533-position model. Lineage: Eukaryota; Metazoa; Chordata; Mammalia; Artiodactyla; Bovidae. The record is from RNAcentral.